CGCAAUUCCCUCAGUCCCUUUGGAGGCUCAUAAAUAUCUCACCUUCUCCAACACGACUGAGCUGAGAAUGGACCAUUCCAAAGAGACACAGCCUAGAAGGAGCAAACACACAUGUUUCUUAAUGGGUUCACAGCCUUCACAGGAUUCCCACCCACUCAGCGUUCCAGGAAGCCUGUAGUCAUGGAAAUUACAUUCUUUUUAUUACCUUCAUGUCAAUAGAGGCUCCAGGAAACAAGAGCAUAUGGCCUCAGCGGGUCUCCCAUGUUGCUAAGGUCUUUAGCAGCUCUGGGCCCAUUGACCUCCCUGGGUUGCACAUUCCUGAUCUUUUCAGGUUUGGGGACAUGCCAUAGGCCUGGAUGUGCAAUUUCUGGGCACGAAGUAGCUAAGGAACAUUUCACCGGCACCUGAGCACCCAAUACAGCCGUCCCGAGGUGCAGAUCUCACAGCCUCAGAGUCGGGAGAGACCGAGGAGAGUUUGCAGUCCAACCCCAAGGACACGGAGGCCCAAGGAGGGGUGAGUGAAUCCCACCACCUGGAAGCCACAGGAGAGAGAAUUUUCUGCAGCUCCCACUGUCCCACCUCCUCACCCCACCUUGGCUGCACCCUCAACACAGGUCUCACCCUCAGGGCUCCCCGCGGGAGUGAGGGCUCGUUUCAGCCUCGCUGUGUCCUCCCCAGGAACACAAAGGACACAAGUGGCUCCUCAUCCUCCCCUGGCAGGUAAAGAGGGCUGGACCAGAGUGUAGAGUGGCCCUCCCCCCACAUCCCUGCCAGGCCCCUUCCCUGGAGAAGAGGCUCGACUGCCGGGCCCAACCCUGGGGGGGUUUAGACUCAGGAGGGCUGACGUCAACAUCAACAUCAACAUCCUGCAGUGGCCUUGCAAGCAGGGCACGUCCCACGACUGGCUUGGGCCUCCUGGCUCCAGCUGCAAAGCACAGAAGACAGGUUGAUGCUUGUGGCCUUGUGGCCAGGAGACGGAGAGCGCCCUCUUGUCUGCUCUGGGCCUGUCCAGGAUGACAGUCGCCUGGCACGUAGUGGGUACGUAAGAGAAGCUUGUGAAAUUGGAUAGAAUAAAACUGAAUUUCAUAUUCCCCAUUUCUAUUUCAUUUAUUUGGCACCUACUGUUCCCCUCAAACCAGGCCCUGCUGCUCACUUUCUCUGUGCAGGCCUUGUCAAUUCUAACUCUCAUCUCUUUGCUCAGGCUGUGCCUGCUGCCUAGAAUGCCUUUUCCUUCCCUCCAUGUAGGCAAACUGUACACCCAUUUCAAGGUUGUACCCACCUCCUCUGUGACACGCUAGUUUCUGGGGUUCUGGAGCUCUGUCCCAGGCACUUGGGGUCCAGACAUUGUCUUGUGCGGGCCGCUAUCUGCUUGUCAAAACACAUCUUCCCUCCUCAGUUGUGAGGGAAACACAUUGGUGGACAACUCUAGAAACAAAUGUUCCACAUCCCUCUGUUCUCCUGACUUGUCCCCAAGGUCCUGUGCACCAUAUCACCGGAAAGGCAUAAGGGCUGGCUUCAGACAGCCCUGGGUUCAAAUCCAGGCUAUGUUUCUUAUCAACUAUGUGGCCUCAGGCACUUGUCACGCCCUCUAUGAGCCUCAUCUGUAAAAUAAGGAUGGAAAGACCGCCUUGUAGAUUGUAGACACAAAGACGCACCUCCCAGAUCCCCCUUCAAGGACGCGUUCCUGCCCCAGAUCCGGGGGUGCAGUGGGCAGCCAGCUUCCAGAUGUUCAGGGUCUGGCUUAGCUGCAGAGAGCUGUCACUCUCCUC
Long non-coding RNA from Equus caballus (horse), 1769 nucleotides. Lineage: Eukaryota; Metazoa; Chordata; Mammalia; Perissodactyla; Equidae. The record is from Ensembl.